This 371-nucleotide ribosomal RNA is filed under the name uncultured Glomeromycotina. RNAcentral's name for it is "eukaryotic LSU rRNA". The record is from RNAcentral. Lineage: Eukaryota; Fungi; Glomeromycota.
UUGAAAGGGAAACGAUUGAAGUCAGUCGUACCGACGAGAAAUCAACUUAUCGUGUGCGAACUUGUGGGCGUGCGUGAGUUUCGGCCUCGCUGUUUGCAUGUUUGUGCGCUUUGGGUGUACUUUUUCGUAUGGUAGGCCAACGUCAGUUUCGAUUAUCAUAAAAUGACCGGCGGAAUGUAGCUUCGAUUUCGGUUGAAGUGUUAUAGCCUCUGGUAGAUGUGGUGAUUGGGACUGAGGAUUGCAACGAAUAUCCUUUGGGCUAUCCGUCUGGCCUCUGAAAGUUGCUCAGGUGCCGAAAGCGUGCUUACGGUCAUCUAAGAUAACGUUCAACAGGCUAGAACGUGAUUACAUUCGUUAAGGAUGUUGACGUA